GUCGGCCACCAUACCACCUGUAGUUCAGACUAGGUAGUGCAAGCUAAGCAGGUUUGGGCCACGUUAGUACUUCGAUGGGAGACCAACAAGAAAAGCUGAGUUGCUCCUG
Molecule: ribosomal RNA, 109 nt
Filed under: Paramormyrops kingsleyae
Lineage: Eukaryota; Metazoa; Chordata; Actinopteri; Osteoglossiformes; Mormyridae
Source: RNAcentral